GGCGGUAUGCUUACACAUGCAAGUCGAACGAAAGUCUUCGGAUUUAGUGGCGGACGGGUGAGUAACGCGUGAGGAUCUGCCUAUAGGUUGGGGACAACUGAUGGAAACGUCUGCUAAUACCCAAUGUGCCGAGAGGUGAAAGCUUUAGUGCCUGUAGAUGAGCUCGCGUCCGAUUAGCUAGUUGGUAGGG
This 190-nucleotide ribosomal RNA is filed under the name uncultured cyanobacterium. Its description in RNAcentral is "partial 16S ribosomal RNA". It matches the Rfam family "Bacterial small subunit ribosomal RNA", at positions 38 to 257 of the family's 1533-position model. Lineage: Bacteria; Bacillati; Cyanobacteriota. The record is from RNAcentral.